Molecule: transfer RNA, 82 nt
Filed under: Gemmatimonas sp.
Lineage: Bacteria; Pseudomonadati; Gemmatimonadota; Gemmatimonadia; Gemmatimonadales; Gemmatimonadaceae
Rfam family: tRNA
About the family: Transfer RNA (tRNA) molecules are approximately 80 nucleotides in length. Their secondary structure includes four short double-helical elements and three loops (D, anti-codon, and T loops). Further hydrogen bonds mediate the characteristic L-shaped molecular structure. tRNAs have two regions of fundamental functional importance: the anti-codon, which is responsible for specific mRNA codon recognition, and the 3' end, to which the tRNAs corresponding amino acid is attached (by aminoacyl-tRNA synthetases). tRNAs cope with the degeneracy of the genetic code in two manners: having more than one tRNA (with a specific anti-codon) for a particular amino acid; and 'wobble' base-pairing, i.e. permitting non-standard base-pairing at the 3rd anti-codon position.
Source: Rfam by way of RNAcentral
GCCCGGGUGGUGGAAUCGGUAGACACAUCGGACUUAAAAUCCGAAGGCGAAAGCCGUGCGGGUUCGACUCCCGCCCCGGGCA